Non-coding RNA from Phrynosoma platyrhinos (Desert horned lizard), 72 nucleotides. Lineage: Eukaryota; Metazoa; Chordata; Lepidosauria; Squamata; Phrynosomatidae. The record is from the annotation of a GenBank genome assembly.
GCCAAGAUGGCACAGUGGUUUGAGUGUUGGACUGCGACUUUGGAGACCAAGGUUCAAAUCCAUGCUCAGCCA